AUACUCCAGCGAAGACCUCAUGACACACACGUUCCAACCAGCCCUGGUGGUAAAUCUCAGCUGCCUUGCCCAUCGGCCUUCCCUCACACCUGUGGUGGAAACAGCUUCCUGUUACCAGUUUUGGCCUCUGGGUUCUCCACACGGGGGCACCAGGGAAGUGAGUGCUGCUGGAGAAGUCUCACACGACCAUGCUCUUUGGGCUAGCUUGCGUUUCUGUGUCUAGUCUGUUAUCCCCUCAGCACUGAUACUUGACUUCAUCAACGCACACCUGUCACCAGUCCCCUCCCAUGUUUGUCUAACAGUUACUCCCAAGGUCUCCUGGUCU
This 325-nucleotide ribosomal RNA is filed under the name uncultured eukaryote. RNAcentral describes it as "partial small subunit ribosomal RNA". The record is from RNAcentral.